RNAcentral lists this ribosomal RNA (253 nucleotides) under uncultured bacterium. Its description in RNAcentral is "partial 16S ribosomal RNA". It matches the Rfam family "Bacterial small subunit ribosomal RNA", at positions 524 to 776 of the family's 1533-position model. The record is from RNAcentral.
UACAGAGGUCUCAAGCGUUGUUCGGAUUCAUUGGGCGUAAAGGGUGCGUAGGCGGCGCGGUAAGUCGGGUGUGAAAUCUCGGAGCUUAACUCCGAAACUGCAUUCGAUACUGCCGUGCUAGAGUACUGGAGAGGAGACUGGAAUUCAUGGUGUAGCAGUGAAAUGCGUAGAGAUCAUGAGGAAGACCAGUGGCGAAGGCGGGUCUCUGGACAGUUCCUGACACUGAGACACGAAGGCCAGGGGAGCAAACGGG